CUACGGGGCGCAGCAGUGAGGAAUCUUGCGCAAUGGGGGAAACCCUGACGCAGCGACGCCGUGUGAGUGAAGAAGGCCUUCGGGUCGUAAAGCUCUGUCAAGUGGGAAUAACGUCCCACGGUUAAUAACCAUGGAAUCUGAAGGUACCACUAGAGGAAGCACCGGCUAACUCCGUGCCAGCAGCCGCGGUAAUACGGAGGGUGCAAGCGUUAUUCGGAUUUAUUGGGCGUAAAGAGCGUGUAGGCGGUUAUGUAAGUCAGAUGUGAAAGCCUUCUGCUCAACGGAAGAAGUACAUCUGAAACUGCAUAACUUGAGUACGGGAGAGGAAAGUGGAAUUCCCAGUGUAGAGGUGAAAUUCGUAGAUAUUGGGAGGAACACCUGUGGCGAAGGCGACUUUCUGGACCGAUACUGACGCUGAGACGCGAAAGCGUGGGGAGCAAACAGGAUUAGAUACCCCGGUAGUC
This 464-nucleotide ribosomal RNA is filed under the name uncultured bacterium. Its description in RNAcentral is "partial 16S ribosomal RNA". It matches the Rfam family "Bacterial small subunit ribosomal RNA", at positions 339 to 795 of the family's 1533-position model. The record is from RNAcentral.